GCCUACGGCCAUACCACCCUGAGAACGCCCGAUCUCGUCUGAUCCCGGAAGCUAAGCAGGGUCGGGCCCGGUUAGUACUUGGAUGGGAGACCGCCUGGGAAUACCGGGUGCUGUAGGCA
This 119-nucleotide ribosomal RNA is filed under the name Camarhynchus parvulus. Lineage: Eukaryota; Metazoa; Chordata; Aves; Passeriformes; Thraupidae. The record is from RNAcentral.